AUUGAACGCUGGCGGCAGGCCUAACACAUGCAAGUCGAGCGGAUGAAGGGAGCUUGCUCCUGGAUUCAGCGGCGGACGGGUGAGUAAUGCCUAGGAAUCUGCCUGGUAGUGGGGGAUAACGUCCGGAAACGGGCGCUAAUACCGCAUACGUCCUGAGGGAGAAAGUGGGGAUCUUCGGACCUCACGCUAUCAGAUGAGCCCAGGUCAGAUUAGCUAGUUGGUGGGGUAAAGGCCUACCAAGGCGACGAUCCGUAACUGGUCUGAGAGGAUGAUCAGUCACACUGGAACUGAGACACGGUCCAGACUCCUACGGGAGGCAGCAGUGGGGAAUAUUGGACAAUGGGCGAAAGCCUGAUCCAGCCAUGCCGCGUGUGUGAAGAAGGUCUUCGGAUUGUAAAGCACUUUAAGUUGGGAGGAAGGGCAGUAAGUUAAUACCUUGCUGUUUUGACGUUACCAACAGAAUAAGCACCGGCUAACUUCGU
RNAcentral lists this ribosomal RNA (482 nucleotides) under uncultured bacterium. Its description in RNAcentral is "partial 16S ribosomal RNA". It matches the Rfam family "Bacterial small subunit ribosomal RNA", at positions 30 to 506 of the family's 1533-position model. The record is from RNAcentral.